RNAcentral lists this unclassified non-coding RNA (298 nucleotides) under fungal sp. RNAcentral describes it as "partial internal transcribed spacer region". The stretch from base 1 to 46 matches the Rfam family "Eukaryotic small subunit ribosomal RNA", at positions 1786 to 1831 of the family's 1831-position model. Lineage: Eukaryota; Fungi. The record is from RNAcentral.
AAGUCGUAACAAGGUAACCGUAGGUGAACCUGCGGUUGGAUCAUUAACAAAAAGAUAAGGGUCAGACCUUAAAACGUCUGGCACUUAUAAACACCUGUGCACUUGUAGUGUUUGAAGCAAGGUAAAAUUGGAGACCCAGUAGGGUCUUUGGGGGUGUUGAAGGUUAAUUAGCCUAGUUGCUGAUGCGUUCACACCUCACCUUCCUGCUUUGACAUCAACAUUUAACAUGUAUAUCUUGAGCUAGUUUAUUAAUUAUAUUAAUAUCUAACAACUUUUAACAACGGAUCUCUAGGCUCUC